Molecule: RNA transcript, 2067 nt
Organism: Cajanus cajan (pigeon pea)
Lineage: Eukaryota; Viridiplantae; Streptophyta; Magnoliopsida; Fabales; Fabaceae
Gene name: putative WRKY transcription factor 57
Source: RefSeq, a predicted model, not a curated record
ACUGUGUAUUGACGAGACAACGCUUUCGAACGCUUUCAUAAACUUCAAAAACUACGCGUCCCUUCCUCUUCUUCACAACCAAACCCAAACAAAAACCCUAAAUUUCUCUCUCCUCUCUCUCUCUCUCUCUCUCUCUCUCUCUGUUUCCGCGUUUUCUCUCACUUUCCGUGAUUCGAUUUUCGAUUCCGAUUGCCGCCACCGCAGAUCGCGUUCUUCCUUGCACAGUGCAAUUCGCGCGCGCACUCCAUGUAUGGACGACGACAAAGACAGACCACCUUCCGAUCCUUCCGCCGCCGCCGCUGAGUUCGCCGGCGACUCGAGUUGGACACUCGCCGCGGAUGACUCCGACGGAGCAUACUUUUUCUCCGGAGACAGGGAGCGAAGCAUACUCAGGGAGUUCGGGUGGAACCUCGAACCGGACCAGGCGAACCGGAUCGGCACCGACGACGGACUGUGGACACCGGUUCAGUCCUCUCUGAGCGGUUCGAUUGAACCGGCCGCUGCGGCGAAUAACCACUCGGUGUCUUCGAGCUCCAGCGAGGAUCUUCCGGAGAAAUCCACCGUCUCCGACGAGAAACCGCCUGAGAUUCCGUGUAAAGGUAAAAAGAAGGGGCAAAAGCGAAUACGGCAGCCACGGUUUGCAUUUAUGACCAAGAGUGAAGUUGAUCAUCUUGAGGAUGGCUACAGAUGGCGGAAGUAUGGCCAGAAGGCCGUUAAAAAUAGUCCUUUCCCUAGGAGCUACUACCGCUGCACAAACAGCAAAUGCACGGUGAAGAAAAGGGUUGAACGCUCUUCCGAGGAUCCAACGAUUGUGAUUACUACAUAUGAAGGGCAACACUGUCAUCAUACCGUUGGAUUUCCUCGAGCGGGAAUCAUUAGUCAUGAAGCUGCCUUUGCGGGCCAGUUGGCUCCUACAAUGUCACAAUUCUAUUAUCCAAUUCAAUCACCCAGAGAGAACAGUACCUUUAGUUCUAUUUCUCAGCCUUGCCAUGCUCAAGAUGAAGCUGGAGGAGGAUCCAGUGCUAUAAUGCCAACUGAUGCAUCGUCACAGCAGCGUCCCACGGAUGAAGGGUUGCUUGGAGAUAUGGUACCCCCGGGAAUGCGCAUCAGAUGAGAGCAUUAUUUGAUGCAUUUAGACAUCUUAGGUUAAAGUAUGCAGAAGACACCUUAAGGAUGAAAAAUUUACAACUCAUGUACUCAAAGAUAUUGCUCUUCAAAUGCCUGGUUCUAGAUCGAGAAACUUUGCUAGGUCUUCAGCUGUCUUUAAAAAGCCAAUUCGAUUAAAUUAUAUACUGACUCAACAAAAAAAAUUGUUGUCAGUCACUUUCAAAGAGAACAUGACAUGUCUCACGAUGGAAUUUCACCCUCAAAGUGAGGAUAUAUAGGUUUAUAUGGUCAUAUCUAUUAGUGUUUCUAUCUAGUAAAUUGUGGCUGAAAAAAAAAGGACAUUGUUAUUUAGCAACUCCACAAUUACAGCCAUCAAUUUUAUGUAGCUUAAUUAGUGAUUAUAGAGGUACUUGUACACCGUACGCGUACACCGUUACGGUUGGUGGUAGUUAUAGAAUAUAGAUAGGUGUGGUUGCUUCAAGUCAAGAAUAAAGAGAAAAGCGAAAGGGAAAGAAACACCUUUUAGUGGUCAGGUUGCACGAUUGUCGCAUUCGCAUCAGAUCAAGUUGCUGUCAGAUAUUACCCAUAACGAGUCGUAUACGAGUUAAAUGUGACUGGAAGUGCUACCUUCCUCAAUAUGAUUGUGAACUAUCCUCGUGUAGUGUUGUUGUCUUCGAUGACUAGACGGUGUGGAUGUGGAACCCAAUCCAUAAAUGCCUUUGCCUUGCAUUUAGUAUAUUGACUACAUACACAACAAAUACAUGAUCAAAGGAGCAAACGAUGUUAUGUCUGCAUUAUCAUAUUAAUCUAGUGUUUUAUUUUCAUGAUGUUGACUCACGAAUCCAUGUAAUAAUGCAUGAUUGGACUUGAUCCAUAUCUAAAUAGUUAAUAUAUAUCUCGUUAUCCAUGUCCUUCUAUUGCCCCUGCAUUGGAUGGGCCAAUAAUCCUUGUCAUGAUUUG